This is a non-coding RNA of Gossypium hirsutum (cotton), 143 nucleotides long. Lineage: Eukaryota; Viridiplantae; Streptophyta; Magnoliopsida; Malvales; Malvaceae. The record is from Rfam.
UGUUAAAAAAUUCAUUCAUUUGUGCUGUUAAAAAUUGACAUGGAAGACGGAAUAACCUGAUAGUUAUAUGGUGUGAUACAUGCACCUCAUGUUGAUGUAUAAUGAUCAACUUUUAACAGUAAAAAUAGAUAAAAAUUUUACAA